This 65-nucleotide transfer RNA is filed under the name Caeparia donskoffi. RNAcentral's name for it is "tRNA-Thr". It matches the Rfam family "tRNA". Rfam says of the family: Transfer RNA (tRNA) molecules are approximately 80 nucleotides in length. Their secondary structure includes four short double-helical elements and three loops (D, anti-codon, and T loops). The record is from RNAcentral. Lineage: Eukaryota; Metazoa; Arthropoda; Insecta; Blattodea; Blaberidae.
GUUUUAAUAAUUUAAUAUUAAAAUAUUGGUUUUGUAAACCAAAAAUAAGUUAAGCUUUUAAAACU